This 29-nucleotide non-coding RNA is filed under the name Mus musculus (house mouse). The record is from RNAcentral. Lineage: Eukaryota; Metazoa; Chordata; Mammalia; Rodentia; Muridae.
UGUCAGUUGCAGGAACGAUGCAUGGGCUC